AUUGCUUCUUGGCCUCUUGGCUAAGAUCAAGAGUAGCAUUUGCUUUAGUAGUUUUCUGCUAUGGUCUGAAUCUGUACCUUCCUCCUCCCAAAUGUACCUUUUGAAAUCCUAAUCCCUU
This is a small nuclear RNA of Callithrix jacchus (white-tufted-ear marmoset), 118 nucleotides long. Its record names the gene U2. It matches the Rfam family "U2 spliceosomal RNA". From Rfam's summary of the family: U2 is a small nuclear RNA (snRNA) component of the spliceosome (involved in pre-mRNA splicing). Complementary binding between U2 snRNA (in an area lying towards the 5' end but 3' to hairpin I) and the branchpoint sequence (BPS) of the intron results the bulging out of an unpaired adenosine, on the BPS, which initiates a nucleophilic attack at the intronic 5' splice site, thus starting the first of two transesterification reactions that mediate splicing. NCBI's taxonomy places the organism in Eukaryota, Metazoa, Chordata, Mammalia, Primates, Cebidae. The record is from Ensembl.